UUAAUUUUGAUAUUAUAAAAAUAAUUUGUGAGUUAGUAAAGAAUGUCAAAUACGGCAAAAACAUUUAGUUUUCUUAUUUCACCAGAACAAAACUUACAGCAGCAGUACACUUUCGAGCCAACAGCAAGGACUUUAUUCCUUAUGUACAUACACAUAUAUAGACCCUUAAUAUAAGCUCAUUACUUUGAUCACGCACUAACUAAUUACUGUGACCUAGGCCCUGGACUAAACACAGUCAGCUCCUGCCUGUUGUACUUCAACCUCUGAGCUUCAUCCCUCGACACUUGGAACGAGUUCUGGAUAACGUCCAACGGCAGCCCUCUAAUCACCGAAGCCCUUCCGGCCAGCUGGCUUGUCAUGGCGACGUCGUUUGUCUUGAAUGAUAUCCACUCCAAUCCACGGUUGCUUGCCCUCUUCACCACGGCGAAGCCCUGCGGGACAACGAUCAGCUGACCCUCCCGGAUUUGACCGUCGAACACAUUCUCCCCGUUCUCCGCCACAAUUUGCAUCCUGCCGUUGCCCCUUGUUAUGUAGACUACGCUGUGGGCAUUCAAGUUCCAGUGUGGCGCCAUCAUGGCAUUCUACUUGCACAAGCAAAAUAAUUCGUUUCAAAUCACAAUUAUAAAUUUGUUAUCUCAAAUGACGUGAUAUUUACUGAUUUUUUUUCUCUCACCUGGUAGAGGUUCCCUUUCUCAGCACUAAGCUGAAUGUAUCGAAGGAUAGGAAGGUUGAAUCUGUUGACGGUGGUGACGCGUCCGCCGCGGGGGUUGUACGCGUCAGCACCCGAUGGGUCAUUGAUGUUGUGCUUUAGCUUCAUUGUACAGAUAGUUUCCUCGAUGCCAUUGUCUCCGCUUCCUUGGAAUUCUUGUUCUUGUUCUUGUUCUUGUUCUCUGCCUCUUUGAGGUGACAGUACUCUCAGCUCUUCCUCGACUCUGACAAUAAUCCCCUUCUGCAUCUGUGGCCCCUGCAGUUUACUGAUUAGAUCUGGGUUCGCGUUGAAGGCCUCAGCCAACAGACGCUCGUCAAAGCCGCGGAAGAGAUUGCCACCUCUCCUGCUGCGGUCGCCACCCUCCCCGCCUUGGCUUCCCUGAUAUCUGCUGCCUUGACUUUGACUGUAACCUUGGAGUUGUGGUUGUGGGUUGCCACCAAGGUAGAAUUUCUGGCAACAAGAACAAGGACAACACCAAAUGUAUUGUUACGAUAUUGAAAAUAUUGCUUCAUUAUCUUAUAUAUAACAAAAACGUUUAGGUAUUAAUUACCCUCAAGAACUGAUCAAGCUGGUUAUCAGAAUUGCCAACAUCAACAAGAGCGACCACAACAAGCUCUGAUGGGCCAUCGUUGUAAAUCCAGUUAGCCGAUCCAGUAGGCAAUGCAACCAGAUCACCCUCACGUAUUUGUCUAACUUUUUGGUGUUGAUCUUGGGAUCUACUCUGACUCUCUGACGACCUUUGCUGUGAUUCUUGGUAUGUCUCGGGACAUCCGGGGAAUACAGCACCGUGAAUGCCUCUACCUGUAUUAAUUUCAUUAAUUUCAAACAUGUUAUUUACAAAACAAUUAAUCAAAACAAUUUAACUAAAUGUCGUGUGCGUGCAUGUGCAUGCGUGCAUGCGUGCAUGCUUGCUUGCCUUGAACAACAUAGAAGAGCUCAGGAGUGUUGGUGUAUGAAGGCACAACGAGGCCUCUCUGUUGGAUACGGUGGCGAAACACGGCAACAUUGGCGCAUUGUAACUGCUCGUCGUUCUGGUCCCAGAACUCUGUGACGCCAGCUUCGGACUCUACCCGUUGUUGGGGUUCGAGGGCGUUGAGGUCCUGGAUAUUACACUGGGUUUGGAAGCGUUGCUGCUGUUGCUGUUGCUCCCGAGUUGCGUCUGUUCCCUGCGCUAUCUGAGCAAAGCAGGCGUGGAAGAGAAUUAGAAACCCAAGCCCUAAACAAAGCAAAUAAGUGGAAGCCAUUUUGAAAAGAAAGAAAAAAAUUGCUGUGAUGAAGAGAGUG
Molecule: long non-coding RNA, 1993 nt
Filed under: Citrus maxima (pomelo)
Lineage: Eukaryota; Viridiplantae; Streptophyta; Magnoliopsida; Sapindales; Rutaceae
Description: long non-coding RNA (CMAX_LNC003661)
Source: RNAcentral